Molecule: non-coding RNA, 2817 nt
Organism: Lynx canadensis (Canada lynx)
Lineage: Eukaryota; Metazoa; Chordata; Mammalia; Carnivora; Felidae
Source: the annotation of a RefSeq genome assembly
GGCCCAGAGUGUCAGCUACUGAUUGCCACCUUAUGGACCGGGACCCUGCUCUCCUGCCUGACUGGGCCCGUCCCGCUGCCGAGCUGGAGAAAGCCCGUGGGCCCCAGGCAAUGGUACCAUUUCCCAUUCUGUGGGGCUGGGUGCUCAUGGCCACCGUGAUAACAGAUGCCUCAGCAAGCUUGGUGGAGCAAAGGCCCAGGUGGGUCCUGGUACCUCGUGGACAAGCUAAAACCCUGCAGUGCAUCCUGAGGGAUUCCCAGUACCCCUGGAUGAGCUGGUACCAACAGGAUCUCCAGGGACAACUACAGCUGCUGGCCACCCUGCGGAAUACCGGGGAUAAGGAGCUCGUAUCCCAUCCUGGAGCAGAUUACCAGGUGACACGGGUCGAUAACACGGAGCUGAGGCUGCAGGUGGCCAACGUGACCCAGGGCAGAACCCUGUACUGCACCUGCAGCAAAGACACAGUGAGACACCCUCCUUGGACAAAUGAAUAAAAACCAUCCCUGAUUGGCAACCACAGACCCAACCUCCUCCCCCGCCCCGACAGCCCCCGUAAGCCUGCUUCCUCUCCCCCCAGAUCCUCCCUUGUCGCCUCUUUUCUAUAAACGGGCUCUUUUUUUCCCCCAGUUUAUUUAUUUUUGAGAGAGAACGUGUGAGAAAGAGGCUGUGCACCAGGGGGAGCAGGAAAGGGGUAGAGAGAGGAAGAGAAAGAGAGAGAGGCAGAGAGAGAAUCCCAAGCAGGCUCCAAGCUGCCAACGCAGAGCCGGACCCGGGACUCCAUCUUGCAAACCGUGAGAUCAUGACCUGGGCCGAAAUCAGGAGUCGCACAGCCAACCGACUGUGCCCCUCUGUAGACUCUUCCUGCUGCUUUUCCACUGCCCUUUUGGUGAACACUCCGCCUGAGUAGCACGGCGAUUUGACCACAGGCUCCGAAGGGCUCCGUUGCAGACCACUCUGCCACUUGGGAGCUUUGGGAGAAACUUGGUUUCUGUGCCUAUAAAGUACAGACAGUAACUCCGCCCAGCUCAGAGCUUGCUGUGAGGAUCGAACGGCACGAUUCUUCACAAUAUGCCUACAUAAGUAGCCAAUGCAUUUUAAUACCAGAGGAGUGCUGGAAAGAAAUCUGGAGAAAUUCUGGGAGCUCAGAAAGGAGGAAGAAUGCGUUUCUCAAUAGGUAGCCCCUUCAUCCACACCCCUAGAAUAAACACCCGCUUUUCCAAUUAGAUCCCCACAUGCAGCACUCACCACCACCUAAACAUCUCACACCCCAAUCUCAAGUUGAUCUCUUUUGAAGUAAAAUCCUCCAGAGAGGGCCUGACCUGGGAAGGACCAGGGUCUGGAGCCACAGCAGAGGGCUCACCAAACGUUGACUAAAAAACCAUGGCUCAGAACUGGGUUUGCAAACUGAGCAAGGUCAUACAAGGAGUGAGGGCCACACAAGGAGCCUAGGGCCCCAGGCAAAUGGACCAGAACCAGCAGGCCGGUGCAGGGCCUGGAGAGAGGCCCCGGUCCUGGGUGCCCUGCAGAGACGGUAGGCCGAGAGGCUGCUACUCUACUCCGCCGCGAGCUCGGAACAUCUCUAUCCCAGAGGGUGUGGACCAGACGAGCAGGGAAAUGGGUGCUCAACAGUGAUGUCACGCAGGUAAUCGGCAUACAGCUAGGACUCAAGCAGAGGAAUUCUAAGUCAGAUCUGUGACUCUCAACACCUCAUGAUGCUGCCUUUUUGCAUAAUGAAUACAUUGCCACCGGGACAAGGCAGGUGUGAGUUGGAAGGCAUCUCUGCCCCUUCCAGAAAGGUGGCUCCUGUCGUGGUGCAGACAUGGUCAGAGAGCCCAGGGAAGACCACACACGAUGUGGCAGCAAGUCAGGUGAGUGUCCUGCAGAGACCCUAAGUACCCUGCAGACUUGUCCUAGGAUUCAGUGGGUCCAGAUGGGAAUAGAAAGAGUUAUACAUAUUAAAUCUAAUUAUUUGGAGGGGAAAGUAAUAUAUUUUGAUGGUGUAAAUUAGGUUCUGCUCUGUAGUUAACUCCAUAGUUUGGGUUGGUUUGAAACUUAUGGGAUUCCAGGACAGGCAGGUAAAUACAGUCACUUAAGACUUUGUUCUCCUUUGUCUCAGCCAUCCUCUCAAUUAAUCAAUACGUGCGUAGAAUACCCACUCCGUUUUCAGUCUUUUACUAGAUAUGGUGUGACUUUCAAGAAAUAUCAGGCAUGUUUCCUCUUUACCUCCUCCAAAUUUUACUCCUCUUCUCUUCUUUAUUCUUUCAUUUGGAAGGUCCUUGGAGAGCAGAAAACAUGAGCUCAAAGUUGCACUUGCAGCUCUGAGAGGCAGAGGAAGGAGGAUGGGGCCUCUUUGUUAUCAUUCAGAUUCCUGAGCCCUGAACAGAAAUAUAGCCCAUAUUUAUGGUCCCUACACCAUCAUUUCAGGGCUUUUGAGCAGGAGGACAAGCGUGGGUCUCCUGUGAAGGCAGGGGCUUAGAUACAGGUGGGCUUAGGAAGAGGGAGUUGAUAACAGGCUAAUAAUUAUUAGGGCUUAGGAUCCAUGCAAGUCCCUUAAGUGUAGGCACACAUCCAUGAGUACCCUGGUGGGGCUUAUUAAGGAUAAACUGGAAUAAAGUUGGGUUGGUAGACAAUGAAUCCUGACACAGAUUAGCAGUUAGCCAAGCUGAAGAGAAAGUAUAGAAUACUAGAAAACUUUACAAAAUUGUAUAAUAGUUGGGGUUGUGAAUUUAAACUUAUUUUUCUACUUUUGUGGGUUCUCCUCAUUAUAUACAAUGAGUGUUUAGGGUUUCUGAAAUCAGGGAAACACUUCAAAAACAA